UGGGGAAUAUUGCACAAUGGGGGCAACCCUGAUGCAGCGACGCCGCGUGUGCGAAGAAGGUUUUCGAAUCGUAAAGCUCUGUCCUCUGGGAAGAUAAUGACGGUACCAUAGGAGGAAGCCCCGGCUAACUACGUGCCAGCAGCCGCGGUAAUACGUAGGGGGCAAGCGUUGUCCGGAAUCACUGGGCGUAAAGGGUUCGCAGGCGGAAAUGCAAGUCAGUUGUGAAAGGCAGAGGCUCAACCUCUGUAAGCAAUUGAAACUGUAUUUCUUGAGAUGUGGAGAGGCAAGUAGAAUUCCUAGUGUAGCGGUGAAAUGCGUAGAUAUGAGGAAGAAUACCGGUGGCGAAGGCGACUUGCUGGACAAAAACUGACGCUGAGGAACGAAAGCGUGGGUAGCAAACAGG
Molecule: ribosomal RNA, 403 nt
Filed under: Fusobacteriota bacterium
Lineage: Bacteria; Fusobacteriati; Fusobacteriota
Description: Fusobacteria bacterium partial 16S ribosomal RNA
Rfam family: Bacterial small subunit ribosomal RNA
Source: RNAcentral